GACGAACGCUGGCGGCGUGCUUAACACAUGCAAGUCGAACGGAAAGGCCCUGCUUUUGUGGGGUGCUCGAGUGGCGAACGGGUGAGUUACACGUGAGUAACCUGCCCUUGACUUUGGGAUAACUUCAGGAAACUGGGGCUAAUACCGGAUAGGAGCUCCUGCUGCAUGGUGGGGGUUGGAAAGUUUCGGCGGUUGGGGAUGGACUCGCGGCUUAUCAGCUUGUUGGUGGGGUAGUGGCUUACCAAGGCUUUGACGGGUAGCCGGCCUGAGAGGGUGACCGGCCACAUUGGGACUGAGAUGCGGCCCAGACUCCUACGGGAGGCAGCAGUGGGGAAUAUUGCACAAUGGGCGGAAGCCUGAUGCAGCAACGCCGCGUGCGGGAUGACGGCCUUCGGGUUGUAAACCGCUUUCGCCUGUGACGAAGCGUGAGUGACGGUAAUGGGUAAAGAAGCACCGGCUAACUACGUGCCAGCAGCCGCGGUGAUACGUAGGGUGCGAGCGUUGUCCGGAUUUAUUGGGCGUAAAGGGCUCGUAGGUGGUUGAUCGCGUCGGAAGUGUAAUCUUGGGGCUUAACCCUGAGCGUGCUUUCGAUACGGGUUGACUUGAGGAAGGUAGGGGAGAAUGGAAUUCCUGGUGGAGCGGUGGAAUGCGCAGAUAUCAGGAGGAACACCAGUGGCGAAGGCGGUUCUCUGGGCCUUUCCUGACGCUGAGGAGCGAAAGCGUGGGGAGCGAACAGGCUUAGAUACCCUGGUAGUCCACGCUGUAAACGGUGGGUACUAGGUGUGGGGUCCAUUCCACGGGUUCCGUGCCGUAGCUAACGCUUUAAGUACCCCGCCUGGGGAGUACGGCCGCAAGGCUAAAACUCAAAGGAAUUGACGGGGCCCCGCACAAGCGGCGGAGCAUGCGGAUUAAUUCGAUGCAACGCGUAGAACCUUACCUGGGUUUGACAUGGAUCGGGGGUGCUCAGAGAUGGGUGUGCCUCUUUUGGGGUCGGUUCACAGGUGGUGCAUGGCUGUCGUCAGCUCGUGUCGUGAGAUGUUGGGUUAAGUCCCGCAACGAGCGCAACCCUUGUUCACUGUUGCCAGCACGUUAUGGUGGGGACUCAGUGGAGACCGCCGGGGUCAACUCGGUGGAAGGUGGGGAUGACGUCAAGUCAUCAUGCCCCUUAUGUCCAGGGCUUCACGCAUGCUACAGUGGCUGGUACAGAGAGUGGCGAGCCUGUGAGGGUGAGCGAAUCUCGGAAAGCCGGUCUCAGUUCGGAUUGGGGUCUGCAACUCGACCUCAUGAAGUCGGAGUCGCUAGUAAUCGCAGAUCAGCAACGCUGCGGUGAAUACGUUCCCGGG
This 1343-nucleotide ribosomal RNA is filed under the name uncultured bacterium. RNAcentral's name for it is "16S ribosomal RNA". It matches the Rfam family "Bacterial small subunit ribosomal RNA", at positions 28 to 1378 of the family's 1533-position model. The record is from RNAcentral.